GGGUUGUGAGGUUAAGCGACUAAGCGUACACGGUGGAUGCCCUGGCAGUCAGAGGCGAUGAAGGACGUGCUAAUCUGCGAUAAGCGUCGGUAAGGUGAUAUGAACCGUUAUAACCGGCGAUUUCCGAAUGGGGAAACCCAGUGUGUUUCGACACACUAUCAUUAACUGAAUCCAUAGGUUAAUGAGGCGAACCGGGGGAACUGAAACAUCUAAGUACCCCGAGGAAAAGAAAUCAACCGAGAUUCCCCCAGUAGCGGCGAGCGAACGGGGAGCAGCCCAGAGCCUGAAUCAGUGUGUGUGUUAGUGGAAGCGUCUGGAAAGGCGCGCGAUACAGGGUGACAGCCCCGUACACAAAAAUGCACAUGCUGUGAGCUCGAUGAGUAGGGCGGGACACGUGGUAUCCUGUCUGAAUAUGGGGGGACCAUCCUCCAAGGCUAAAUACUCCUGACUGACCGAUAGUGAACCAGUACCGUGAGGGAAAGGCGAAAAGAACCCCGGCGAGGGGAGUGAAAAAGAACCUGAAACCGUGUACGUACAAGCAGUGGGAGCCUCUUUUAUGGGGUGACUGCGUACCUUUUGUAUAAUGGGUCAGCGACUUAUAUUCUGUAGCAAGGUUAACCGAAUAGGGGAGCCGAAGGGAAACCGAGUCUUAACUGGGCGUUAAGUUGCAGGGUAUAGACCCGAAACCCGGUGAUCUAGCCAUGGGCAGGUUGAAGGUUGGGUAACACUAACUGGAGGACCGAACCGACUAAUGUUGAAAAAUUAGCGGAUGACUUGUGGCUGGGGGUGAAAGGCCAAUCAAACCGGGAGAUAGCUGGUUCUCCCCGAAAGCUAUUUAGGUAGCGCCUCGUGAAUUCAUCUCCGGGGGUAGAGCACUGUUUCGGCAAGGGGGUCAUCCCGACUUACCAACCCGAUGCAAACUGCGAAUACCGGAGAAUGUUAUCACGGGAGACACACGGCGGGUGCUAACGUCCGUCGUGAAGAGGGAAACAACCCAGACCGCCAGCUAAGGUCCCAAAGUCAUGGUUAAGUGGGAAACGAUGUGGGAAGGCCCAGACAGCCAGGAUGUUGGCUUAGAAGCAGCCAUCAUUUAAAGAAAGCGUAAUAGCUCACUGGUCGAGUCGGCCUGCGCGGAAGAUGUAACGGGGCUAAACCAUGCACCGAAGCUGCGGCAGCGACGCUUAUGCGUUGUUGGGUAGGGGAGCGUUCUGUAAGCCUGCGAAGGUGUACUGUGAGGUAUGCUGGAGGUAUCAGAAGUGCGAAUGCUGACAUAAGUAACGAUAAAGCGGGUGAAAAGCCCGCUCGCCGGAAGACCAAGGGUUCCUGUCCAACGUUAAUCGGGGCAGGGUGAGUCGACCCCUAAGGCGAGGCCGAAAGGCGUAGUCGAUGGGAAACAGGUUAAUAUUCCUGUACUUGGUGUUACUGCGAAGGGGGGACGGAGAAGGCUAUGUUGGCCGGGCGACGGUUGUCCCGGUUUAAGCGUGUAGGCUGGUUUUCCAGGCAAAUCCGGAAAAUCAAGGCUGAGGCGUGAUGACGAGGCACUACGGUGCUGAAGCAACAAAUGCCCUGCUUCCAGGAAAAGCCUCUAAGCAUCAGGUAACAUCAAAUCGUACCCCAAACCGACACAGGUGGUCAGGUAGAGAAUACCAAGGCGCUUGAGAGAACUCGGGUGAAGGAACUAGGCAAAAUGGUGCCGUAACUUCGGGAGAAGGCACGCUGAUAUGUAGGUGAAGCGACUUGCUCGUGGAGCUGAAAUCAGUCGAAGAUACCAGCUG
This 1775-nucleotide ribosomal RNA is filed under the name Escherichia coli. RNAcentral's name for it is "bacterial LSU rRNA". It matches the Rfam family "Bacterial large subunit ribosomal RNA", at positions 1 to 1792 of the family's 2925-position model. The record is from RNAcentral. Lineage: Bacteria; Pseudomonadati; Pseudomonadota; Gammaproteobacteria; Enterobacterales; Enterobacteriaceae.